This 253-nucleotide ribosomal RNA is filed under the name uncultured bacterium. RNAcentral describes it as "partial 16S ribosomal RNA". It matches the Rfam family "Bacterial small subunit ribosomal RNA", at positions 524 to 776 of the family's 1533-position model. The record is from RNAcentral.
UACGUAGGGGGCGAGCGUUGUCCGGAAUCAUUGGGCGUAAAGCGCACGUAGGCGGCUUUCUAAGUCAGGGGUGAAAUCCUGGAGCUCAACUCCAGAACUGCCUUUGAUACUGGAGAGCUUGAGUCCGGGAGAGGUGAGUGGAACUCCGAGUGUAGAGGUGAAAUUCGUAGAUAUGGGGAGGAACACCGGUGGCGAAGGCGGUCACCUGGACGGAUACUGACGCUGAGACGCGAAAGCGUGGGGAGCAAACAGG